GUGACCUUGAGACCGACGGAGGCGGCUGGAUCGUAUUCCAGAACAGAUUCAAUGGUUCUGUGGAUUUCUUCAGACCAUUUGCAGACUAUGAAGAAGGUUUCGGUACAAAGUAUGGUGAAUUUUAGUUAGGUUUACAACUGCUGAGCGAGUUUACUACCAGGGGAGAUCUCAAUGAACUGCGUGUUGAUGUUGACAUAGUUAACGGCACGAAGUCGUUCGAUAUCUAUCGUCCAUUCAGCGUAGCAGCAGGGCCAGAUUACACGGCGCAACUCGGCAGCAGAGUUGGCUCUCAUGCACUGUAUCCAAUGAACCUCGACAUCAACGGGUCAAAAUUCAGCACGUACGAUCACGAUAUGGACAUUAAUCAAUUACAUAACUGUGCCAAGGAAGAAAAAGGCGGCUGGUGGUACAAAGCAUGUUACUAUUCCAAUCUGAACGGAGACUACCACCACGGCAUGUUGUAUUCCACCUUUACAACAAAUUGGCAAAAGCAUUAUUUAAAGGCAAGCAAAAUGAUGUUCCGUGCUUUCUAGCAAUGCCCUUUGAUUCAAUGUCAAAGUUUGCAAAUAUAAAUGGAAAUGAA
Molecule: long non-coding RNA, 583 nt
Organism: Mya arenaria
Lineage: Eukaryota; Metazoa; Mollusca; Bivalvia; Myida; Myidae
Exons: 4
Source: RefSeq, a predicted model, not a curated record